CGUACACUCCUGCGGGAGGCAGCAGUGGGGAAUAUUGCACAAUGGGCGCAAGCCUGAUGCAGCCAUGCCGCGUGUAUGAAGAAGGCCUUCGGGUUGUAAAGUACUUUCAGCGGGGAGGAAGGCGAUAAGGUUAAUAACCUUGUCGAUUGACGUUACCCGCAGAAGAAGCACCGGCUAACUCCGUGCCAGCAGCCGCGGUAAUACGGAGGGUGCAAGCGUUAAUCGGAAUUACUGGGCGUAAAGCGCACGCAGGCGGUCUGUCAAGUCGGAUGUGAAAUCCCCGGGCUCAACCUGGGAACUGCAUUCGAAACUGGCAGGCUAGAGUCUUGUAGAGGGGGGUAGAAUUCCAGGUGUAGCGGUGAAAUGCGUAGAGAUCUGGAGGAAUACCGGUGGCGAAGGCGGCCCCCUGGACAAAGACUGACGCUCAGGUGCGAAAGCGUGGGGAGCAAACAGGAUUAGAUACCCGAGUAGUCCC
This 475-nucleotide ribosomal RNA is filed under the name uncultured organism. RNAcentral describes it as "partial 16S ribosomal RNA". It matches the Rfam family "Bacterial small subunit ribosomal RNA", at positions 330 to 797 of the family's 1533-position model. The record is from RNAcentral.